This 789-nucleotide long non-coding RNA is filed under the name Phaseolus vulgaris (common bean). Its description in RNAcentral is "long non-coding RNA (PVUL_LNC001546)". Lineage: Eukaryota; Viridiplantae; Streptophyta; Magnoliopsida; Fabales; Fabaceae. The record is from RNAcentral.
CUGCUUAUGCUAAAACACAGUUUAUUGUUACCACAAGGAAUAAAAUAAGCUAAGACUUUGUCCAAUUUCAGAAACUAAAAAUGGUUACAAACUUGUAAUAUGAAAAUAUUUGCAGACACCAAUGGCAGAUAUUCACAAAACUUUGAAUUGGCUUUUACUCAUAAAAAUGAUUCCUAACCCAAUUAUCUAACAGGCUAAUAAUACAUUCACUAAUCUAGUAGAACAAAAAAUAAGAGUUCCCCUGCACAAGGGCAGGGAAAAAAGCAAAAAAACGGAAAGUAGGGAGGGGGUUACAAGGAAGGAAGAGACGAUCCUGUACACAUACCUCUAUAUUCGUCUCUUUCCAAAGAAAAUAGUGAAAAUACCCUCUAAAAACAGCGGUAAUAUACAAGACCUGUGAAAUGAAUAAGUAAGCAAUAAUGCCUACCAAUACAAUUUUUCCUAAAUUUUAACAGGACCUACUGAAAACAAUGGAUAUCUAUCUCCAUAUUCCAAAGCCCUCAUGUAUGACCAGCAUCAUCUGCAGACAAACCAUAACAAAAUUGAAGUCUUCUUUUCAUUCAGCCAUGAGAAAUAUAGAUAAAUACAACAUUAAAAAAAAUAAAAAUUGAAGGUCAUAUUCACAAAAAGGAAAAAAGGAUGCACAAUUAAUAGGAACCUCGGAUCCAAUUUCAAGAGUGGAUUUCCUCUAAGAGAAAACAAUAACGGCAUCCCAACAUCGGAUAUGUGCAAUACAUAUUACAAAAGAAUAAAUUUUCAUCAGUGAAUUCUCUAGGAGAAACAAUCACC